Molecule: RNA transcript, 8308 nt
Organism: Bombus pascuorum
Lineage: Eukaryota; Metazoa; Arthropoda; Insecta; Hymenoptera; Apidae
Gene: jeb
Exons: 4
Source: RefSeq, a predicted model, not a curated record
UCAUCGUAAUAAAUCAUCCCAAGUGUCUAAUUAACAGCACAACAUCCCAAAACCUUAGUAACUAAAGAACCAAAACAACAUUUUCUUUUACAAACAGAUGAAAUUAAUUGAAUAAUUAUGCAUUUGCCAAACUAUGUAGCCGAUAAUCCCAAGUAAUUGUCUUACGAUCUUGCUUAUUAACUUCAUUCAUAAAAUAUUUUAUGAAUCCAAUGAGAUCAUCUUCGACUCAAUCGUCUCAUAAACCAACCUACCACAACCAAAAAGUCCUCGAGACCAGCCAUCACUCAACAACCGUCUGAUUCAAUUUCUUUUGCAAGUUGCCCACAUUUACCCGCAACAGCUGUUAAGUUGGCGAAACGGUGACUACAUGGAGGCAGCAGUCUGCCGCCCGCCACUCGCCCGCUAUAAAACCUCUCUCCAUAAAAGACCUCUCUUUCAAGACCCAGACAUAUCCAAGACCCACAGAAUCACACGCGAGUCGGAUUCGAAAAGCACGUUAAAACGAACAGAGAAAAAAAAGAAACGCAAAACAAAGGAAAAUAAAAGCGAGAGAGAGAGAGAGAGAGAAAGAAAGAGAAAGAGGGAGGAAAAGGCACAAGUGUUGGCCGGUGUGUGAGACUCGAUGCGGAACGGAAGCGUGAACGAUGCACGGGGUGGCCGGGGCCGGGUUAGCAGCGUUAGAGUCCGGGGGUGAAAAGGGAAGAGAACGGCAGGUGUCUCGAUGGGGUGGUAGGGAGAUGCGCGGUGUAUUAAACCCGGUGACUCUUGCCGCGCAGCGUGGGAGUUAGUUCUGGUGAGGGCGCCAGCCAGCUCACUCGCUAAACUAACCCACCGUCCCAACCCUUCGAUCCUCCAUCCCUCGACUUUCGGCCAACAAAGCAACAUCCACGGCCGCAACCUCCUUUCACCGACUCCGCAGCCGCUGUUUUUUCGCGACUUCCUGCCCGGCCCGCGUCUAAAUACCGUACGGCGUACUGAGAAAGGAAAAGGAAUCGGUGACCAUUCAACAAACAGGGAACGAACAACUUUUCUUUGGCAUUCUCGCGUCUCCCAGAACCUACGUGUAUACGUACGUUACGUAUACUCUGCUCGCGGCAAAGGCGAGCAUGCGAGCAACACAAACUCGUCGCAAGAGAACGUAACAGCUGAGCAUAGAAGAAUAGUAGAAGAAAGUGAAUUCAUUUUUGAAGAGGUUCGAACGAACAACGAAUAGUACGAGGCAGCGGGAUAUAACAAGAUUAGAAAGGAAGGAGGAAACAGGUUGGUCCCCGUGGUUACGUCGAUCGACGCGUUUUUAACCGGACGUUCUCGACGUCAUCGUCGUGGAUGACGAGUAUCAGCGAACGACAGUCAGCAACAUGUUAGUGAACUGGUGUUCGCACCAUUUUGUGUUCGCGUGAUCCGGUCCGUCGGUGAUGAACAAACUGGAUGAAACGGUAGCCCGUCACGGCAAGAAUAAACUAGCCGCUGAAUAAACCAAGUUUAAACACGAGUACGUUUACGGGUAUUGUAAUCGACUGUAAAACGAGUUUCCACGAGUAGAAGGUCGUUGAAAGUUGUUGAAAGAGUAUCAACGAUCAUCGAUCAGACUUUGGAGGAUUUUACGUGCGAGAACUGCGAAGAAGAAGAAAAAGAAGAAGAAGAGUGUUGUGUGCGACGGGAAACAGAAGAUUUGAACUUGGCAGGGAAGGUUAUCUGUUAAUCGUAUCGCAUGAGAAAAGGUCCCACGGUGAGAAAGAGGCGCAGAAGGGCGAAGAUAUCGCAGCACGCAGUCACAGAAGCAAGUAUUUCGCACAGAAACACACGUUAAAUCAUAUGUAAACACAUCAUAUUCUGUUAAUACACUGGGUAAUGUUCCGCAACUGCACCUUUGCCCGAUAACUUUCUUUUUUCUCUAUAUAUACGUGCACAUAAUAUAUAUAUAUAUUGUAUUCUCUCUCUGUUCACACGCGCCGCCUGUGUUGUGUCACACUCUAUCACUGUAUGAUCGAUGUGCGUACUAUGUUCUUCUACUCCUUCGGUGUUUUCGACGUCACGACGACCAGCUGUGUCGUCCGGCGCCUUAAUUAAUCCCCUUCCUCCCCACCCCCCUCACCCCCCAAACCAGGAGCACGGUUUUGCACAUUUUUCGGGCACCUGUUGAUCUCUCUCGUACUACAUAGCCACUUUUCCGCACUUUAAAGUCGUUCGGAGAGUUCGAUGUCACCGCUGCACGCCGUGUCACACCGCACGUAGAAUCUUGUAUAACGCCUCACUGGCACACAAGCACCUCCAAAAGUCAAGCACCGUGAACCGACACACGGGGUCCUUCGACAGCAUGGAAACCAGAGAUAGAAAGCAGUUUUCUAUGACGUCAUCGAGGACAGUAAGUGUCUAAUUUAAGACAGAGACCAGUAUAGAGAAUCUGCAGACGCAGCCAAAGGACCGCAAGUGGUCGUGGAUCCUGGAAAUUGGACUUUCGAUUUCUACCGGGGAAAGUAGAGGGAUCAGAAAGUGGAAAGUAGCAUGUUGUAAUAGAGACAGAGGAGAGAAAGAAUCGCGAUGCAGGCAACAGGGAGAGAGGACAGGGGUAAGAGCAGGAGGACCAGGAGAAAAAUCGAGUUUCGUUGUUGCCCACACUAUCGAGCACCUUAAUAAGUAUCCACGACCAGCACCAGCACCAUUCAUCACUGGCACUGCAUAUUAUUCUUCAGACACACGCCUUAGUGUCGACUAAGAGCCAUCCUUUUUUUUACUAACGGCCUGAUUUCAGGACGCGGAAAUCCUCGAGAGCCUCUGUUGUCAUUGAGUGGAACGAAUCGUCGGGAAUUUUCGGAAAUGCGACAUUAACGAGACACGAUCGUGGACUGUGCAACGAUCGCCGACAGAAUCGAGUCGAAUCGAAGAGAAGCGAAGAGAAGAAGGAAAUCGAAAGAGAAUAGAAUAGGUGAUGUUCUUAUUGAUCUCCCUAUUCCGAUUAUAUCCGAAGAUUUAGAAGAGUGUUCGAUGAAAGAAGAAAAGCAGCAAAGUAGAAAGACGAGAGAUAGAAUAAAAGUAGUUGAACGCGUUUAAGAAACGUUUCGUUUCCCAUGUAACGGAUGCCUACACGGUUAUCGAUUGAUCGCCGGUCAUCGCUCAUCGUCCGCGUUUUCUUCCCUCAAGUCGCUCCCUACAGAAACGCUUCCUCCCCCUGCACAGCUAACGAAAAGUCGGCCUAAACUCUCAGCGUCGUGCCUUUUGACUGGCAAACGAAAAUCGAGCGCGGUACGUGUAUACAAUAAAAAGCGCUAAAAACGAAACAACAUACAAAAAAAAAAGAAAAGUAACAAAGGCGAAACUACAUAAAGAAUCUACCCAAGAAGAGAGAAAAGAAGAAGAGGAGAGAAACAAAAGACACUUAAUUUUUAAUCGAUUCGAAAGCCAGCCCGGUUAAAUCCGGUGAAAAUUGUAACAUAUAUGAUGGCGGUAUGCAUGUUCUGGCUUCUCACGUACGUGGGACAAGGGCUAGACCUGGCCGUGGGGAAUCGUCCGGUGAUCAUCAUGCAGGGUGCACAGGAGCAGGACUAUCGGCACGGUAGCGGGAUCAGAAAGAAGAGCGAGCUAAACUCGGUAGGCAAUAACCUGUUGCACUUCAGGAUAUAUCCUCCCGAGGCCUCUCACCGAGACGACCUGUCCAACUGGUUGCUAUUGAACGACGAGCCACGAAUUUCCUCGUGGACACCAGCUGGUAUAUUGAUCGACGAUAUGAUCAGAGAGCCUAGGGAGCUACAGACUGUAUUCUUUGCCCUGUCACCCGCUAUGUUGAACAUGCUCUACUCGGAAUACAUGAACACGGCGACGCAACCGGGCGAACAAUUUCUACACGAGGAUCAACAACAACAGCCAAUGGGCGGUGGUCCUCUGGGUAGUCAACGUACUAAGAAACUACGAAUCGACUGUAGACACUCAAGAAACACGGUCAGCCUGCCUAUAAGAGUAUGCGACGACGAAACAGGACGCAAGAGCUUUCAAGAAACCAGACAAUCGAACUACGACGAUCUCUUCGAGCACAAGUUAAACACUGCUGCGAACAUGAAGACUGACUCGAUAUCACGGGGACCUGAGAAGUACAGGGAUUAUCAGAACGGCGCGACGUUUGUGUCGAGACCACCGUUUGGCCUGGACACAGUCAAGCCUCCCGGAAAGAGAAGCCAAACUCUUGUCGGACGCCGCUCCAUCGACCUCUCCGGAGAGUCGACUCCGCAUCAAGCUCAACCGCCGUCCUCCCCCGGGAACGGCAUCAACGUCGCUUCUCAAAUUAUGUUCAGAUCCACCAGGGGAAGCAUACAGUACGACGUACCGCAAAUCGAAUGUCCAAUCUCCGAAGACGGAAUGGAAAGGUUUGCGUGUCCCACAGCGGACAGAAUGGGUAGAUACCAUUGCAUUGACGAUCACGCCUUGUGCGACGGUUUCAUAGACUGCCCUACAGGCGAAGACGAGGAUAGGCAAGCCUGCAUGUUUUACAAAACUUGAACAGUGAAAGGAUCAACAAGAAGAUAUUUAUCAGACAAAUUUCCUAUUUUUCGUCGCUUUAACCUUUACUAUAAUUUGAAUGAGAAAUAUACGUAGACGAAAGCUCACCUUGACGUAUUGGCAGAUGCCAUUUUGCGAUGGGCAAGAGGACGCUAAUUCCUUUGUUGACGAUGAACCUCUGACCUAUGCAUAAAAUCAUAAGUCUGACGAGUUUACUUCUUUAUACAUUCAUCUAUAUAUAUAUAUAUAUAUUUAUACAUAUAUAAUAUAUAUAUAUAUUUGUAUAUAUAUAAUAUAUGUAUAAUAUAGCAUAUAAUAUGUAUAUGAUAUAUUCCCAUGUAUGUGUACGUGUACUCACACUCUUGUGUACCCGCACACAUAUUCAGGGUUUUCGUUUCGUUGCUAGCGGACGUUUCUCUUGCGAGCAGUUCCAGAGGGGGAUGAAGGCAGUUGAGGUAAUUCUUUCUUACUUUUCGCAGAAAAAUGCGAUAAAAGAGAAGGAAAUUUAUUAACAAGCUCAAGAUUAAUUGUUGGAUUUCGAUUGAAAGAAGAUCGGGUAUGGAAUGGAUAAUUCCAAAUAAUUGCAUUUAGAUGUGAAAUUGUGGAUUCGAUGCAGUCUUGAAAAUAAAGAAACGUUAGCUUAUUUGAUGUAUUAAUUCGAACGAACAUAUACUUUCAAAAUUCUUUGACAUUUUGCAAGCGUAAUAUUAAAAUAUUUACAUCCUUCUAAAUGUAUCAUUUUGAUGUAAUUGAUAUUCCUGCUAUAAAGAAAAGGCUUCAUUAAAAUUGAAUAUAUUGAAACCUCCAGGAUGAAACGAAAGGAGAAAUCAUUAGACUGUUAUGCUAAAUGCUUAUGUACUUAUGAGAUGCAAGAAUGCUCGUAAAAGACACAGCAUUCUAACACUGAUUGCCUCGAACCUCUGUUUAAAUUGUACUUCUUCAGUUGCAUUCGUGAAGCUAUGAAUCCGUAGAAAUAUCUGCACUCUAAAAAUCAUCUAAUCUCCAAAACACGGAACGAGAGGAGAGAAUCUGGAUCUAUCAUCGAUCUACGGUGCUUCUAAAAUUCUUCUAAAGUUCUCCUAAAAUUCUUCUAAAGCUCUUCUAAAAUUCCAAGAAAACCUAACGUCACGCGAAUCUGACCCUAGCGAAAUCUCAUUCUAAAUUCCACGGACAACUUCACGAAUCACUGAAAUUACUUUAUGCGGUCACGUUUCAUCGUGGAUGCGACUGCAAAGCAUCCCCUCCUAUAUUCUCGGCGAUUUAAUCCGCUCGCAAAAGGAACGCAUGCUGACUAGAAGACGAACACCCUGCUCGCAUUUUCCCCGUUCUCCCGCAUCAUCUAUUUUGCAGAGAGUUUUCCCUUUCUCCCGUGUAUAACCGUAAAGAAAAACACAUACACAUACACACACACACACACACACACACACACACACACACACACACAGACAUACACACACAAACAUAAACAUAUAAUGAGAGAUAGAGAGAGCUUGCGUGUGUGCAUGCGGAAACGUGUGAAAGAAAGAGAGAGAGAGAGAGCGCGCGAGAGUGAGAUGUUCACGUUGAAAUCAAACUCAGGGGAACGUAAAGAUGAAUCGUCUCUCGAGCAACACUCAGCCAAAAAAUAUGGCCGAUCCGUGCUCGAUUCUUCGAGGGGUGCGGAUUGAUUCUGACGCGGCCUCGUUUAUACGUGUUCGCUACGUGUCCUCGUGCGAGAAUAUCGCUGAAUCGAUAAUAUUUCGAUAGACAAGCCGUUGCUUGUUAAUUAAAUGGACGUGUUCUGCGGCUUGACGUUUAGGAGAUGAUAGCGAAGACAGGAAGUUGCGAUACGUUUGCCGCGAUUAACGCGAGCUUCCGACUGGUUCGGUGAUACGUUCUGAGAUACAUACUGUUGAUGGAUGACCGGAAGAGGGAUAUCGCGCGAUUCUAUCGUGAAACUUGUUCGUUCGAUCUUUCUUUCUUCUUUUUUCCUUAGAUAGAAUCGCAGAAUUGAUCGGAGUUACAGCGGGUCAAUUGUGGGGAAUUUCCGAAUUAUUAAAGUUUGUGUUAAAGAUAUCGAAAUUAUUGGAAUAUCUGAGAAGUUUGAGAAUUUUUCCUGUUAUUAUUAUUCGUAGAAUUCUUUGAAUAUUUCACUGUUACACGGUUCGACGCAAAAAAUAAUCGAACAUUGUAAAAAUAACGAAGCAGAGGCAUCGUAUCGAGAAAAAUGUUCUAUUUUAUUGAAAACACGUUUCUCCUGUGGCGAUACAACGAUUUGCACCCUCAACUAAUGCAUCAAAUAAUUGUUGCGCGUCUUUUUAUGGAAUUCCUUGGAGAAUUGAGAAGGUCACAGCCUUCCGGAUGUCUCGAAUGUUGUCACAGCAUGACAAUGUUGUCCUCCUUCGUUGUUGUUCGAAGCUGAGGAGAUAGAAAGUAAUUGUACGAUGCUAAGUCCAGCGAACAAAGUAGUUGGUGCAAUAUUUUAAUUUAUUUGUGUUCAAGAGAAGCAGUUAUGGCCGCUGCAUUAUGAGCCGGUACAUUAUUACACAACAACACCAUAUUUUUCCGUGCGUGAACCAACUCUACUCCAAUGUUAAUCGCUAUAAUUCUGCUCCUAAUAAUGACGAUGACGAAGGAUGUAUUUCUACGUGAUAAAAUUUUCGUAUUGAUGUCGCUACUGGGUUUUUUUAAUCUUAAGUUGCUCCGUUAUUUUUGGAACAGACUGUGUACUUUUAUUCUACCUUUUUGUAAAAUUGUAAAAUGUAGCGGGAUGCUGCAGGAUUUGGAAAUUAUUAGAGUUUGUUCAAAAUAUUGGAAAUAUUGGAAUAUUUGAGAAGUUUAUGAAUUUUCAGUGUUAUUAUUAUUUGUGAAAGCAUUAGUGUAUUUUGAGAAUGUAUACUUUUGUGUCGUUUUAAAAGACUUUGGAAGUAAUUUGUUGUGUAUGUUGAAACUGUUGGAACAUUUAGAAAAUUCUUUUAUUACUAUAGGAGAUUUUUGAAAGGUUAGAGGUUUCAGAGUAAUUUAUUAUCAUUUUUCUAUUGUUUGAAAGAAUUGAAAUUAUUGAUGGACUGUUUAUCUAGAAAUUGAGAAUUAGUUUGGUGUAGAUGUUGGAAAUAUUGAGAAAUUUAAAAAGUUAAUAUAAUUAUUCGGUUUGUAAAAUACUUCGUUGUAAAUGUUGAACAUUUUGAAGUAGACAUUUUACGAAACAUAUUAAAAUUAGUUUUCCGUAUUCUUUUAGGAUAAUUCUGAACUUAGUACGAAUAUUACAUAUAAACAAUUUAUACGUUGGUUUCGUAGGAAAGACAUUGAGAAAUUGAAAUGUCUGUUCUUUUGUAAAAUUCUUUCGAAUUAAUUUACGUUAUUUAUACAAGAUUUAUAACUUCAUUUAUUUCAUCGAGAAUCUCAGCGUUUUAUUCUUUUGUACAAUUUCUUGAAGUAAAGGUAUAAAACGAAAAUCUUUUAUGAAUAAUUUUUCUCUCCUGUUAGAAUUCUACAAUUUCCUGUCAUCGAGAACGAACGAUCAAUUUUCUUGCUGUCGGAAACCCAUUUCUACGUCCAGAAUCAUCUGUCACUACAAGGGAAAGAAUUUCAUCUGUCAUUUCGGACAGGAUUUCGUUGUUCUCUGAUACUGUUUUCCAACACGAUACCUCCUACAUUUAACGACUAUAUAAUUUAUGAAAAAUAAUGACAGUGAUUAAUCUCGAAUUAAUAAUAAUAAUGAAUUGUAUAUUUUUCGAUUAACGAAUUGUUGUUUACAAAUUAGAUAACAGAAACAGAUGCAUAAAUUCACAUUUAUUGCUGACAAAAAUCUACAUAAAAAUAAUAAAAUAUUGAGAUA